GACCAUAUUACUCUUGGCCGAUCCCCUUAAGUGGGUAGGUGCCAAUCUUCCUAGGAGCAUCAUCAUCAAAAGUGUGAACCAUUGUUGGUGUUUCAUCUGACAUGAACGUGGCCCGCGUGCCCGUUACGUGAGCGGGCGCAGAAGCGCGUGAAUCGGCCGGCGGCCAGCUGUGGCCGCUCGCGGCUGCGCUCCUCUCGGUACUGGUGAGCCGUUGGUCUGGGCUGAGUGCCCCCGAGAAAUGCUCUUCGGAUUAAAUGCGGUUUCAGCACAGGUCCUGUUUACGCUACUCCUCAAGCUUGCUUUGAUACUGUUCAAGCUCUUCGCGAGAAGAGGUAAGUCCUUUCCGGCAAAGCGGCCGGAGUUUGACGCUGCGCUAUCCCCGCCUUUUCUAUCAGGUAGGGUGUACACUGCCGUUGAGACGGAGGAAAUCUUGAGCAGUUUCAUCAGAGUGUUGAUCCUGCUGAUGUCUUACAGUCUCGUAAGUCACCUGAAAUCGUUGUCUGAAGGACACAGCACCGGACGAAGACUCGUAUUUUCAAGCUGAGAAGAUGUACGUAGAAGACUCAACAGUAGGAGUGUUUGCAAUUGCAGCUAUCAUGCUCAGGAUACAGUCCAAUCUCUGCUUAAUAUAUGGCAAGCUCGAUGAUGAAGAACGUAAUCGGUAUGUCAAUCUCAGCGCACUUGCUGGCACAUUGUGCGAAUUUUUUGGACUAAUGUACCUGUUGGAUUUCGUUACCUCCAAGCAAACUGAAUCGCUGAGCAUUCUGCAGUGCAUUGUACCUCGAAUGACCUCUGUUCAUCCCACUUCAUAAAGUGUGGUAGUUCCGGCCAACCAGUAGCUGCAGGAGCUGAAGCCACUGCAAAUGUUCAUCUACGACAAGAUAAUCUACAGAUGGCUCAAACUCUCUCUUGCGCUGAACGUUGCGCUGCUCUUAAUCACAGCUAAGUGUUGCCAAUCACGUCCUUUGAAAGUGUUCCACAGUUUUGCAGCCAGGAUAUCGGGCUACCUGACCGUGCUUGCAUUAUUUGGGGAGUUCAGCGAAGAGUUUGAAGAACUGGAGUGCGCUAGAUGAAUCAACUAGGAGCAGCACAAACUUGGUAAGUUGC
Molecule: long non-coding RNA, 1107 nt
Organism: Rhipicephalus sanguineus (brown dog tick)
Lineage: Eukaryota; Metazoa; Arthropoda; Arachnida; Ixodida; Ixodidae
Exons: 8
Source: RefSeq, a predicted model, not a curated record